Molecule: ribosomal RNA, 468 nt
Filed under: uncultured bacterium
Lineage: Bacteria
Description: partial 16S ribosomal RNA
Rfam family: Bacterial small subunit ribosomal RNA
Source: RNAcentral
GACGAACGCUGGCGGCGUGCUUAACACAUGCAAGUCGAACGGAAAGGCCCUGCUUUUGUGGGGUGCUCGAGUGGCGAACGGGUGAGUAACACGUGAGUAACCUGCCCUUGACUUUGGGAUAACUUCAGGAAACGGGGGCUAAUACCGGAUAGGAGCCCCUGCUGCAUGGUGGGGGUUGGAAAGUUUCGGCGGUUGGGGAUGGACUCGCGGCUUAUCAGCUUGUUGGUGGGGUAGGGGCUUACCAAGGCUUUGACGGGUAGCCGGCCUGAGAGGGUGACCGGCCACCUUGGGCCUGCGAUACGGCCCAGACUCCUACGGGAGGCAGCAGUGGGGAAUAUUGCACAAUGGGCGGAAGCCUGAUGCAGCAACGCCGCGUGCGGGAUGACGGCCUUCGGGUUGUAAACAGCUUUCGCCUGUGACGAAGCGUGAGUGACGGUACUGGGUAAAGAAGCACCGGCUAACUACGUG